CGGAAGUCCCGCUGAAACCAAUGAGACGAUGAAGCAAACGCUAAAUGUCUCCAGAUAACGGGUCAGUCGACUUUCCCAUCUAUCCUUUCCAGAGGCGAAGCCUCCAGCCAUGCCGAUGACCACGGCGUGCUCUGCAAGAGACAUGUCCAACCUGCUGGCUGAAAACACAUUCGACGAGCCGUUUUAAUGGACAUUCAUGCACUUAAUUCUGGAUCAGCAGACAACCCCACCAGCCUCCACCACAGAGGCACAACCAGCG
Molecule: long non-coding RNA, 259 nt
Organism: Oryzias melastigma (Indian medaka)
Lineage: Eukaryota; Metazoa; Chordata; Actinopteri; Beloniformes; Adrianichthyidae
Exons: 3
Source: RefSeq, a predicted model, not a curated record